RNAcentral lists this long non-coding RNA (1179 nucleotides) under Felis catus (domestic cat). Its description in RNAcentral is "lncRNA (ENSFCAG00000050641.1)". The record is from RNAcentral. Lineage: Eukaryota; Metazoa; Chordata; Mammalia; Carnivora; Felidae.
AUGGAGGAAAUGGGGAGGGGGGAGGCGGUGGGGGGCAGAGGCUGGGAGUUCGAGUCCUGGCUUCCAGGCCUCCUCUCCCUCAUUGACCGUGUAUCUUUGUCCCCGCCCACCCCCACCCCCCCCACCCCAAAGUCUCUGCAGCCUUGGGUGGCCCCUUCUUACCAUCCAGUGCGUGGACUCAGACAAAGUCCCAGACCCUCAGGGAAGCACGAGGUCAUGACCUUGGAGAAUCACUUCCCCCUCUGAGCCUCAGUUUCCUCUUCUGUCAAGUGGAGUCAUCGUGAGGUAGAAUGGGGGUGCCAGCUCAGCACUUUGGAAACUCCGCUGCCCUGAGGGAGGGAGUCAUCGAAGUCCUGACACGGACCUGACGUAGUUUCCCAGAUGGGGAACUGAGGCAGUAAAGGUCAGGGGACCCACACAAGGACACAGCCAGUGGAGGGCUCCCCGCUGCCAUUUCCUGGGAAGCAGCUACGCAAUGUCAAGACAGCAUGUGAUAGUGUCAGACCCCCCGAGUUCACACCCUGGCCCUGCCACUCACUGUGUGGCCUCAGGCAGGUCACUCUACCUCUCUGAGGCUCAGUUUUCUCUUCUGCAAGAUGGGGAGAAAACUGACCUGAUGGCCGGACUUAGGAGCGAAUUAAGCAUGUAAACCACCAAUGGCAGAGCCUGGCACCCAAUAGGUGGUAAGUCUUCUUCCCCGAGCAGAGGCUGUGCUGGGCCAUCGUGGUUCCGUUCAGGGCAGGAAGGGCCCCUGGCUGGAAAGGGUCAAGAGUCCAGCUAGUGUUGCUGGUCACUGACCCUCUGCUCUAUGUAAACAGGACCCGGCUGUCGUGCAUCUCAACCCUCCCCGGUGCUGGCCCGCUGGCCGCAGCCUCUGCCCUUUCUCACGCUCUCGGGUACCCGGCCCCGGGGCCUUUCCUGCCGCACCCCAGCCUUGCUCGCUCACGAGCGCUGUUCUCCAACCUCACCAGCCGCUUCUGCUUCUCUGUUGCUCCAAGCUCACUCCUGCCUCAGGGCCUUUGCACCUACAGGUCUCUCUUCCCGGGUUCCCUUUCCCCAUGUUUUCCCUUCUUUAACAGAAAUGUUAUUUUUAGAUUCUAUCAUUAGAAUCUAAAAACAAGACCUAGAAUAGUUUAGGCAUUUAAUAAAUAUUUGUCCCAUAAAUAAAUGAAUGAAUUU